Molecule: long non-coding RNA, 5868 nt
Organism: Capsicum annuum
Lineage: Eukaryota; Viridiplantae; Streptophyta; Magnoliopsida; Solanales; Solanaceae
Exons: 2
Source: RefSeq, a predicted model, not a curated record
AAAACCUGUAUGGGCAGAGAGAGGUUGAAAAGGACAUAUAUCAUCUCAGUUCUUGUUUAAGAGGACACACAGGGUCGGAAGGAAAGUGUAACGAAAUUAGCUUAUGAAAUUGUCAUGAAAAAUGAAAAAACAGGAUGAGAUGCGAAUGUGAAAGUGUAUCCAAAAAUGAAAAUCCAUCAGUCGUUGAAAAAAAAGAAUAAUGGUCAAGAGGAAUUGAGCUAGUCAUUAAGACCACGCUCGCUAGUUGCAUUCUCGAGCAAAGUGUCCAGCUCCAAUCCUGUUGACCAUUUUUUUUCAUCGACUGGCGGAUUUUUAUAUUUUGAUACACUUCCCAUUUCUGAGUGUCAGAGAAUCAGUCUCAAAUAUGACUCCCACAUAACUUUUUGAAAUACAAUACUCUAUAACUUUCUUUAAAGCAAGUGCCUCUACCUCUAUGUUUGUAGUCUCACCCACACUUCUAGCUUUUGCAAAUAUCAAAUAUCCCCUUUCAUUUCUGAGGUAAAAAAAGCUAAAGCUCCUAUCCUGGGGUUACCUUUACAGGCCCCAUCUGUAUUACAUUUAAUCUUACCCCUCUCUGGAAAAGCCCAUAUGAUACUAUGACAGUGUAAUCUAGGCUUAUAACUCUGGAGAAUAGAGAUAAUAUUUGUCCAGCUUUCUUUACCAAUCUUCAACCAUGGAAACAAAAACUUGAUCACCUUUUUAAUCAUGUCUUGCACCUGCCAUACCAUCUGUGUAAAUGAGAUGCUAUCUCCAUGUUUUAUCCGAUUUCUCCUUCUCCACGAACACCACAUGAUAAUUGCUGCAUUACCCUUCAUACUCCUUCUAUCUUGGGAUUCCAUCUUAUGGUCCACCAUGUAUGAAUUAGCUGAUGCAUAUCCAUAUCUUCAAUAUUAAUGCCUGCAAAAAAAGCAAACAGCUUCCAUAGCUUUUCAGCUAUGGGAGAUGUUAGAAAAAUAUGUUCCACUGUUUCCUCUUUGUUUGUUUCACAGCACUAACACCUUGAAACAAGAUUAAUUCUCAUAUUUUUCAGUACAUUAUCAGUGGCAAUCCUUCUUUUCCAAACUCUCCACAUAAAAAAGUUAACCUUGAAAGGUAUCCCCUUAGCCCAGAUGGUCUGAUAUUCUUCCUUUCUUUCUCUUUUACUUCUCAAAUUAUCCCAAGCAGUAAAAUUUCCUUGAUUGUUUUCAGUCCACCAAGGAAUGUCAUCACACUUAUAUCGAUGAGGUACUUUGAUGUUUUGCAUGAUAAAUAUCACCAUCUCUUCUGAAAGUUUAUUCCAGUCCAAUUAUCAUAUCAAAAGGUUGAUAUUAACCAUUUUUCUCCACAUAUGUGAGAUAUUAAAACCUCUUGCCAUCGUUGGAUGAUGUUUCUUGCAAUAUUUGUUCCACAUGAGCUCUGUCUAUAAAGAAGGGGUGGAGGUUCUAAAAUUCCACCAGAGCUUAGCGUUUAAAACUUUGGACACAGUAUUUAAAUACCUAAAAUCAAUACCCCCUUCCUCUUUGGGAAAACACAUAUUUUCCCAAGAAAUCCAAUGUUUAUUUCUAGCUCUAGUAGUAUUUGCCCAAACGAAUUUAGCAAAUAUCUUAUGAAGCUGAUUAAUAACACUUAGAGAAGGACUCAUAGCAGAAAGAAGGUAGAUAGGCAUAGAUUACAGGACAUUAGCAGUUAAAAUAUAUCUUCCUCCAAAAGAUAAUAACUUAUGUUGCCAUAAGCUCAAUCUCUUCACCACUUUCUUUACCAGAUCCUAAAAAAAGCCUUCUUCUUUCUUCCAUAGUAUAUUGGACAUCCCAAAUAAGUAAAAGGAAAAGGCUCUUUAUUAAUACCAGUAAUUCUUUUGACCAAGCCACCAAUUCCAAUUGGGGUCUUCUUAUGAAUAUAGAAUAGGCUUUCUCCAAAUUGAUCAUUUGACCUGAAAUAUUUUCAUAAUCUCUAAGAACCCUUAUCAUCUUCUUGAUAGACCCUGGAUGCCCUAAACUAAAAAGAAUGGUGUCAUCUGUAUAUGAAAGAUAGUUGAUUUGAGGACUCCAUCUAGGUAACCCAUAUUCAAUAAAGAGAGGAUCUUCAUAAAGCUUGUUUAAGCUUCUUGAUAAAACCUCUACAGCAAUGAUGAAUGGAGUUGGAGAUAAAAGGUCUCCCUAUUUUAGACCCUUAGAAGAAUGAAAGAAACCAAAGGACUGGCUAUUAAUCAACACAGAAUAUCAAUUAUUACUUAUCAGCCUCACCACCAUGUCAAUGAUCCUUUCUGAGAAGCCAAACUUCCUUAACACCUUGACCAAAUAUUUCCAAGACACUCUGUCAUAAGCCUUAGCCAUAUCUAAAUUCACCACAACAUUAUGAUUCUUCUUUCUGAUAUUUAUAUCCCUAAUAAUCUCUUGUGCUAGCAAAACAUUUUCUAGGAAAAACUGCAACCAUCCUUUCAUAACGAAUCCUAGAGAUGAUCUUAUUUAUAAAAUUGCAAAGAUUAAUUGGUCUUAAAUUACCAAAAGUCUUUACAAUUUAUUUCUUAGGAAUCAACACAAAAUUUGUAUGAAUGACAUACCUUAGGAGUUCUUGAUCACUGAAAAAGCUUUAACCACAUUUGAUAUAUAUUCUCCAAUCACAUCCCAACUAGCUUGGAAGAAUUUACUUGAGAAGUCAUCCAGACCACAAGCACUUUUUCUAUUUAAAGCAAAAACAACCUGUUUCACUUCAUCUAAAGUAGGUAAUCCCUCCAUUUGAUCAUUUUGACUUUGAGUAAUCAUAUUUAGGAUAGACUGUAACAGCUCAUUAUCAAUGUCCUCCUGAGAUUGUUUGAAUUGAUCAUUAAAGAACGUUACUGCCUCUUCUCCAAUAUUCUGAGUUAUAUUAACCACAUCUCCCUGCUUAGUUUGAAUUUCCCUAAACUAUAUCUUCCUUCUCUUUCCUUUUACAUAAGCAUGAAAAGAUUUGGUAUUCUUUUCUCCUUCUGUAAACCACUCCAUCCCUGCCUUCUGUCUCCAAAACUCUUCUUCAAUAUGCAGAUAUCUCUUUAAAUCAGCUUCUACUUUAUUGAGAUGCAUUCUAUUUUCCUCUGAUGGGUUUAUUUCCAACUGAACUUCCUUGGCCUUGAUUAAGUUCUCCAAAGUAUAAAUUUUUUGAAAACAUUACCAAAAGUCAUCUUAUUCCAUUCCGCUAAAGCCUUCUUGACACUCCUCAUCUUAUGAUGAACUAUAAUGAAAGGAGAACCACUUUCUUCCACCACCCAAGCCUCUUUAAUAAUUUGCAGAAAGUCCUUAUGCUGCAUCCAGAAGUUCAAAAAUCUAAAAGGCUUUAUAACAUGCUUCUGGGAAUCAUCACAAGACACAUGAAGAGGAGCAUUAUCUUAUCCUUGUCUAAUCAGAUGGUUUAAAUUCACUGUUUGGCAACAGUUGCAUAAACUCAUUAUUCCUCAACACUCUAUCUAUCCUUUUGAAAAUACAAUCUUCAUGGAUUCUCCCAUUCCACCAGGUAUACAAAGUACCAGUAAACUUCAAUUUUUUAAGACCAUAAGAAGAAACACAGUUAGCAAAAUCAAUCAUCUCCUGCUGAGAGACUGACAGCCCACCCAUUUUUUUUGAAUCAUUCAAAAUAACAUUGAAAUAUCCACCUACCAUCCAAGGAACAUGAGUUUGUUCAGAUAAACUUUCUAAAUAUUUCCAAAGUUUAAUUCUAUCCAAAGCACUGCAUCUUGUAUAGACUGCAGUAAUUACAAACUCCUCAGUAGACCCUUUAAGCUUGAAGGUAAUAGUUAACUGUUGAAUAGAAUUUGUAGAACUCUUUUCCUCCCAAUUAUCUUCCCGAAACACCCAAAUUUUAGAAGAACAAUUCACUUUUGCAUUAGGCAAUUCUAUCCUCCUCCUAUAAUUCUCUAUCUCAGUUGGGCUUUGAAAAGGUUCUAGUAUAGCAAUGUAUGAAUAUUGAUGUCUCCUGUGUAGAUCAAUUAACCUCUCAAAAGAUUUUUGAGAUUUAACAGAUCUAAUAUUCCAAAAUAAAACUAUAUUAAUCAUUGAUCACAAGUAUGCGAUGACCCCUUCUUCCUCCUUGUAUUUAUUUGUGACUGAGGUAAGUUUAAAUUCCCUCUUUCUUAUUUUUAGCUUUGAGGUUCCCCAUUUGCCUUGGUGAUAAUCACCAUCCUAAAAAAUAUGCUCUACAUUAAGGUCAAUACUUUCAUCUUCUUUUGUAUUCUGCUUCUCAACCUUAUCUGCUGCUGACAGGGAACUUAUCUUUGGGGUUGCUGCUCUUGCAGCUGGAUUUUCUAUCUGAGCUUGCUAAUCCUUUUCUGAUGGAUGCAAUUGCUCAGGACCGUUAUCAUCUGAAACUUCAUUCUCUUCAUUACCUCCUUUGGCAUUUAUCUCUUGAGAUUCUCCCGUAUUAUCUUUCUCCCAUUCGUCAGAACCUUUUGUUGCAUUAUCUUAUUGUGCUGCAUUGUUCGUCAUACUCUAGGAAUCUUGUUGUUUAUCCGAGAUGCUGGAUUCUCCCAUGUGCUCCACAUUGGUAUUAUCUUGUACCUUCUACUUUUCUUUCUUUGCACUUGCUUGAGCCUCCUACUGCUUAGCAUCCUUCCCCUUAUCAACUGUUGCUUCUAAAUUGACAUUUGUGUUAUUGUCAUUCAGUGUUGCAAAAGUAUUACCAGUAAUUAUUUCCUUAUACUUCUCCUUAUUGAUAGUUCUCCAUUCAUUUCUGCCUCUUCCCUGAUGGCUUCCCCUUCUAUUAUCCCCUUUAAUUUCUUUUUUGUUCUUUAUAACCAUCAUUAUCAUCUUUGAUAUCAUUGCCUUUAUUAUUCUAUCCACUUCCACUUCCUUCUUUCUUAUGCUUAUUGUUUGUCGUAACAUGUGCUUUGUUGGAGUCUAUAUUCUUCUCUUCUCCCUCCUCUUUUGGGUAUAAUUUUGGGUGCAAGACAAAACAUUCUUUUUCUGUAUGUCCCUGCAGCAUGCAAGUUUCACAAUACUUUGGAACAUAGUCAUAUCUUAUGUGAAUCCACUUCUCCUUGAUCUCAUUAUCCUUCUUCCUCAUCCCAACAUUUAUUCUUUUUGGAAAAUCCUCAAGUAAGUCCACCUCCACUUUGAAUCUUGCACAACUUAGCCUUGUCUUAUUUUGUGUUGCCAUAUGCACUUGCAAUAAUUUUCCUACAGCUGCUGCCAGUGAGAAGACUGUUUCUUGUCCAAAGAAAUUUGGAGGGAGAGAAGUAAAAGAUAUCCAAGCAACCAAUAAUUAUGGGUAAUAUAAAAUUUUGAUUUCGAUAGCAAAUGCACAUAGUCUUCCAUCCUUGUAGCUCUUAUCAAAAUUUGUCUGUUACUAAAGAGGCCAAUAUUCACCUCUCCUUUUAAUUCACAUUGUUGUAGGAUCAAUCUCCUUAGAUCUUGAAUGUCAGGCCAUCCAUAUGAGAAUUUUUCUAUUACUGCAUAUUCCUGGGUUUCCAAGUAGUAGGAUAAUACAUACUGGUUCUACACAUCCUAUAAGAUUUGUUGAUAUUACUGGGGACCUUGGUUACAAACCAAAAACGGGAGUAAGGUGGAGGGGCAAAAAAGCAAUGAUUGGAAACUAACUUGAAGUGAUGAGAGAUGAGAUGAGAAUCAACAAAAGACAGAAAAUGACUUCAUCACAAUCCAAGCAACAAUGAAAGUAGUUUUAAAAUGUUGAUAGUUUUUGAAACUAAAACUGAUGUUGUAUUGUAAAUUGGGGUAGGUUAUUUUGACAAGAUCAUUUUUUGUGAAGGUUCUAUGAUGCACUAGAAUGUUGCAUCUCAGACAUUUGUCCAGUUAUUUUGUAGUAUAUAUUGCACUUGAAAGUUCAAGUUGCAUCUCAAACAGUUAUGCACUGAUUUUGUUCUAUUGUAUUGAAUAUUGGGAUCUAUAAAUUUGUAUCUAUCCU